GACGAACGCUGGCGGCGUGCCUAAUACAUGCAAGUAGAACGCUGAAGAGAGGAGCUUCCUCUUCUUGGAUGAGUUGCGAACGGGUGAGUAACGCGUAGGUAACCUGCCUUGUAGCGGGGGAUAACUAUUGGAAACGAUAGCUAAUACCGCAUAACAAUGGAUGACACAUGUCAUUUAUUUGAAAGGGGCAAUUGCUCCACUACAAGAUGGACCUGCGUUGUAUUAGCUAGUAGGUGAGGUAAUGGCUCACCUAGGCGACGAUACAUAGCCGACCUGAGAGGGUGAUCGGCCACCAUGGGACGGAGAAACGGCCCAGACUCCUAAGGGAGGGAGCAGGAGGGAAUCUUCGGCAAUGGGGGCAACGCUGACCGAGCAACGCCGCGUGAGGGAAGAAGGUUUUCGGAUCGUAAAGCUCUGUUGUAAGUCAAGAACGGGUGUGAGAGUGGAAAGUUCACACUGUGACGGUAGCUGACCAGAAAGGGACGGCUAACUACGUG
RNAcentral lists this ribosomal RNA (497 nucleotides) under uncultured bacterium. Its description in RNAcentral is "partial 16S ribosomal RNA". It matches the Rfam family "Bacterial small subunit ribosomal RNA", at positions 28 to 507 of the family's 1533-position model. The record is from RNAcentral.